Molecule: ribosomal RNA, 380 nt
Filed under: uncultured eukaryote
Lineage: Eukaryota
Description: partial 18S ribosomal RNA
Rfam family: Eukaryotic small subunit ribosomal RNA
Source: RNAcentral
CAAUAGCGUAUAUUAAAGUUGUUGCGGUUAAAAAGCUCGUAGUUGGAUUUCUGCCGAGGACGACCGGUCCGCCCUCUGGGUGUGUAUCUGGUUUGGCCUGGGCAUCUUCUUGGAGAACGUAGCUGCACUUGACUGUGUGGUGCGGUGUCCAGGACUUUUACUUUGAGGAAAUUAGAGUGUUUCAAGCAGGCACACGCCUUGAAUACAUUAGCAUGGAAUAAUAAGAUAGGACCUCGGUUCUAUUUUGUUGGUUUCUAGAGCUGAGGUAAUGAUUAAUAGGGAUAGUUGGGGGCAUUCGUAUUUAACUGUCAGAGGUGAAAUACUUGGAUUUGUUAAAGACGGACUACUGCGAAAGCAUUUGCCAAGGAUGUUUUCAUUGA